AGAGGCAUAGCUUAAUUGGUUAAAGAACUCGGCUUAUAUCCGAGCAAAGCGGAGUCUUGAUAAGGCUCUGUUGAAGGUUCGAGCCCUUCUGCCUCUA
Molecule: transfer RNA, 97 nt
Filed under: Siphoviridae sp. ctmpG14
Lineage: Duplodnaviria; Heunggongvirae; Uroviricota; Caudoviricetes
Description: tRNA-Ile
Rfam family: tRNA
About the family: Transfer RNA (tRNA) molecules are approximately 80 nucleotides in length. Their secondary structure includes four short double-helical elements and three loops (D, anti-codon, and T loops). Further hydrogen bonds mediate the characteristic L-shaped molecular structure. tRNAs have two regions of fundamental functional importance: the anti-codon, which is responsible for specific mRNA codon recognition, and the 3' end, to which the tRNAs corresponding amino acid is attached (by aminoacyl-tRNA synthetases). tRNAs cope with the degeneracy of the genetic code in two manners: having more than one tRNA (with a specific anti-codon) for a particular amino acid; and 'wobble' base-pairing, i.e. permitting non-standard base-pairing at the 3rd anti-codon position.
Source: RNAcentral